UUCGCAAUUUUACUACGCGUUUGUAACGGCGUGCUCUGAAGCUCACGCGCUCGUGGUUUAUUUCCAGCAUUUUGGCGGUUAGUUUCGACGGAGCGAUGGCAGUAAACGGAUCUCCAGAAUGGUGUUUCCCCAUUGAUGAUAGUGACUCCAGCAGCCGUGACCUGUCCCACCUCAUGUCACUGUAGUGUCAAAGUGCUUACAGUGCAGGUUGGGAUCGGCCGCAAUGCUCUGCGCUGGAAGUAUUGCACUUGUCCCGGCCUGUGAAGAGCAUGGGGAAUUGUUCGGCUGCAUUUUUGUACGGAAAAGCACAUUAUACAUGAAAUAAAAUGCAUUUAUUUUAUUUAA
Long non-coding RNA from Danio aesculapii, 345 nucleotides. RefSeq lists it as uncharacterized. Lineage: Eukaryota; Metazoa; Chordata; Actinopteri; Cypriniformes; Danionidae. The record is from RefSeq and is a predicted model, not a curated record. The transcript has 3 exons.